UGAGAGUUUGAUCCUGGCUCAGGAUGAACGCUGGCGGCGUGCCUAAUACAUGCAAGUCGAACGAGAAAGAUGCAAGUCUUCGGAUGCGCAUCGAGUAAAGUGGCGAACGGGUGAGUAACACGUAGAUGACCUGCCCUCAAGAGCGGGAUAACGCCCCGAAAGGGGUGCUAAUACCGCAUAAGCUCCCGGGGAUUAGAAGCCUGGGAGAAAAACUAAGGUGCUUGAGGAGGGGUCUGCGGCCCAUCAGCUAGUUGGUAGGGUAAAGGCCUACCAAGGCGAAGACGGGUAGGGGGCCUGAGAGGGUGGUCCCCCACACGGGAACUGAGACACGGUCCCGACUCCUACGGGAGGCAGCAGUAAGGAAUAUUGCACAAUGGGCGAAAGCCUGAUGCAGCAACGCCGCGUGCCUGAGGAAGGCCUUCGGGUCGUAAAGGGCUUUUCUGGCCGAAGAGAAAGGACAGUAGGCUAGGAAUAAGUGUCGGCUAACUACGUGCCAGCAGCCGCGGUAAAACGUAGGACACGAGCGUUAUCCGGAUUUACUGGGCGUAAAGCGCGGGAAGGCGGAUGUGCAAGUUGGCUGUGAAAGCUCCCGGCUCAACCGGGAGAGGCCAGUCAAAACUGUGCGUCUGGAGGGCAGUAGAAGCACGUGGAAUUCCGGGUGGAGUGGUGAAAUGCGUAGAGAUCCGGAGGAACACCAGAGGCGAAAGCGACGUGCUGGGCUGCACCUGACGCUGAACCGCGAAAGCCAGGGUAGCGAACGGGAUUAGAAACCCCGGUAGUCCUGGCCGUAAACGAUGUUCACUAGGUAUC
Molecule: ribosomal RNA, 810 nt
Filed under: uncultured bacterium
Lineage: Bacteria
Description: bacterial SSU rRNA
Rfam family: Bacterial small subunit ribosomal RNA
Source: RNAcentral